AAGGUCCCCAGGGGAAGUGUGCGAUGGAUGAGUCCCCUUGCCUCACCCCAUCUGAUGACUGUUAGCAGCUUCACACCCGGAUCUAGGAGCCAGCUAACAGAAGAAAUCCAGAGGAGAGGGAAAAGUGUUGUGUUUUUGAAGAACAGUUGAACAGGCCAGACAUCUUCAGCCUGUGAGGUGGCUGAGGAGAGACAUAGCAGAAGUCUAUAAAAUCAUGAGUGGAAAAAAUGAAUUGGUUGCUGCUCUUUCACCUGUUCCAGAAAAAGCACUUUCAGAAGAAACCAAAGGUGAAAACGUCGUGUCACCUGGGCAAAGGAACUAAAGUGAAAGAGCGAUCUCAGGUAUUUUGCUGUUGGUUUUUUUUUUUUGGUUUUUUUUUUUUUUCCCUUUCUGUUAGGCCAGAGCUUGCAUGA
This 413-nucleotide long non-coding RNA is filed under the name Numida meleagris (helmeted guineafowl). Its description in RNAcentral is "lncRNA (ENSNMEG00000022711.1)". Lineage: Eukaryota; Metazoa; Chordata; Aves; Galliformes; Numididae. The record is from RNAcentral.